RNAcentral lists this ribosomal RNA (440 nucleotides) under uncultured bacterium. Its description in RNAcentral is "partial 16S ribosomal RNA". It matches the Rfam family "Bacterial small subunit ribosomal RNA", at positions 338 to 795 of the family's 1533-position model. The record is from RNAcentral.
CCUACGGGAGACUGCAGUGGGGAAUAUUGCACAAUGGGGGAAACCCUGAUGCAGCGACGCCGCGUGAGCGAUGAAGUCUUUCGGUAUGUAAAGCUCUAUCAGCAGGGAAGAAAAUGACGGUCCCUGACUACGAAGCCCCUGCUAACUACGUGCCAGCAGCCGCGGUAAUACGUAGGGGGCACUCGUUAUCCGGAUUUACUGGGUGUAACGGGAGCGUAGACGGUCCUGCAAGCCAGAUGUGAAAGCCCGGGGCUCAACCCCGGGACUGCAUUUGGAACUGUAAGGCUAGAGUGUCGGAGAGGCAGGCGGAAUGCCUAGUGUAGCGGUGAAAUGCGUAGAUAUUAGGGGGAACACCAGUGGCGAAGGCGGCCUGCUGGACGAUGACUGACGUUGAGGCUCGAAAGCGUGGGGAGCAAACAGGAUUAGAUACCCUAGUAGUC